GAUCCUGGCUCAGGAUGAACGCUAGCUACAGGCUUAACACAUGCAAGUCGAGGGGCAGCAUGGUCUUAGCUUGCUAAGGCCGAUGGCAACCGGCGCACGGGUGAGUAACACGUAUCCAACCUGCCGUCUACUCUUGGACAGCCUUCUGAAAGGAAGAUUAAUACAAGAUGGCAUCAUGAGUCCGCAUGUUCACAUGAUUAAAAGGUAUUCCGAGGUACGACGUAGGGUAGGGUAG
RNAcentral lists this ribosomal RNA (235 nucleotides) under uncultured bacterium. Its description in RNAcentral is "partial 16S ribosomal RNA". It matches the Rfam family "Bacterial small subunit ribosomal RNA", at positions 15 to 239 of the family's 1533-position model. The record is from RNAcentral.